CUCGUAGGUGGUUGGUCACGUCUGCUGUGGAAACGCAACGCUUAACGUUGCGCGUGCAGUGGGUACGGGCUGACUAGAGUGCAGUAGGGGAGUCUGGAAUUCCUGGUGUAGCGGUGAAAUGCGCAGAUAUCAGGAGGAAUACCGAUGGCGAAGGCAGCCAUCUGGCCUAAUACUGACACUGAGGUGCGAAAGCAUGGGGAGCAAACAGGAUUAGAUACCCCGGUA
RNAcentral lists this ribosomal RNA (225 nucleotides) under uncultured Brevibacterium sp. RNAcentral's name for it is "partial 16S ribosomal RNA". It matches the Rfam family "Bacterial small subunit ribosomal RNA", at positions 568 to 792 of the family's 1533-position model. The record is from RNAcentral. Lineage: Bacteria; Bacillati; Actinomycetota; Actinomycetes; Micrococcales; Brevibacteriaceae.